CCUACGGGAGGCUGCAGUGGGGAAUAUUGCACAAUGGGGGAAACCCUGAUGCAGCGACGCCGCGUGAGUGAAGAAGUAAUUCGUUAUGGAAAGCUCUAUCAGCAGGGAAGAAAAUGACGGUACCUGAGUAAGAAGCCCCGGCUAACUACGUGCCAGCAGCCGCGGUAAUACGGGGGAUGCGAGCGUUAUCCGGAUUCAUGGGGUUUAAGGGGUGCGCAGGCGGGCCUUUAAGCCGGCGGUGAAAUUGCGGGGUCCAACCGCGCCGAGCCGUCGGAACUGGGGGCCUUGAGUGCGGGGGAGGCAUGCGGAAUGCGCGGUGUAGCGGUGAAAUGCAUAGAUAUCGCGCAGAACCCCGAUUGCGAAGGCAGCGUGCCGUGCCGCCACUGACGCUGAGGCACGAAAGCGCGGGGAUCGAACAGGAUUAGAUACCCCGGUAGUC
This 439-nucleotide ribosomal RNA is filed under the name uncultured bacterium. Its description in RNAcentral is "partial 16S ribosomal RNA". It matches the Rfam family "Bacterial small subunit ribosomal RNA", at positions 338 to 795 of the family's 1533-position model. The record is from RNAcentral.